Molecule: ribosomal RNA, 594 nt
Filed under: Streptomyces rochei
Lineage: Bacteria; Bacillati; Actinomycetota; Actinomycetes; Kitasatosporales; Streptomycetaceae
Description: bacterial SSU rRNA
Rfam family: Bacterial small subunit ribosomal RNA
Source: RNAcentral
GGGAUUAGUGGCGAACGGGUGAGUAACACGUGGGCAAUCUGCCCUGCACUCUGGGACAAGCCCUGGAAACGGGGUCUAAUACCGGAUACUGAUCCUCGCAGGCAUCUGCGAGGUUCGAAAGCUCCGGCGGUGCAGGAUGAGCCCGCGGCCUAUCAGCUAGUUGGUGAGGUAACGGCUCACCAAGGCGACGACGGGUAGCCGGCCUGAGAGGGCGACCGGCCACACUGGGACUGAGACACGGCCCAGACUCCUACGGGAGGCAGCAGUGGGGAAUAUUGCACAAUGGGCGAAAGCCUGAUGCAGCGACGCCGCGUGAGGGAUGACGGCCUUCGGGUUGUAAACCUCUUUCAGCAGGGAAGAAGCGAAAGUGACGGUACCUGCAGAAGAAGCGCCGGCUAACUACGUGCCAGCAGCCGCGGUAAUACGUAGGGCGCAAGCGUUGUCCGGAAUUAUUGGGCGUAAAGAGCUCGUAGGCGGCUUGUCACGUCGGUUGUGAAAGCCCGGGGCUUAACCCCGGGUCUGCAGUCGAUACGGGCAGGCUAGAGUUCGGUAGGGGAGAUCGGAAUUCGUGGUGUAACGGUGAAAUGCGCAGAU